UUCCUACGGGAGGCAGCAGUGGGGGAUAUUGCACAAUGGGGGGAACCCUGAUGCAGCGACGCCGCGUGGGCGAUGGAGCGCCUCGGCGCGUAAAGCCCUAUCAGCAGGGAAGAAAAUGACGGUACCUGACUAAGAAGCCCCGGCUAAAUACGUGCCAGCAGCCGCGGUAAUACGUAUGGGGCAAGCGUUAUCCGGAUUUACUGGGUGUAAAGGGAGCGCAGGCGGCCUGGCGAGCCUGAUGUGAAAUACCGGGGCCCAACCCCGGGGCUGCAUUGGGAACUGCCAGGCUGGAGUGCCGGAGAGGG
This 305-nucleotide ribosomal RNA is filed under the name uncultured bacterium. Its description in RNAcentral is "bacterial SSU rRNA". It matches the Rfam family "Bacterial small subunit ribosomal RNA", at positions 336 to 658 of the family's 1533-position model. The record is from RNAcentral.